This 433-nucleotide ribosomal RNA is filed under the name uncultured bacterium. RNAcentral describes it as "partial 16S ribosomal RNA". It matches the Rfam family "Bacterial small subunit ribosomal RNA", at positions 29 to 507 of the family's 1533-position model. The record is from RNAcentral.
AACGAACGCUGGCGGCAUGCCUAACACAUGCAAGUCGAACGAGACCUUCGGGUCUAGUGGCGCACGGGUGCGUAACGCGUGGGAACCUGCCCUUAGGUUCGGAAUAACUCCCCGAAAGGGGUGCUAAUACCGGAUAAUGUCUUCGGACCAAAGAUUUAUCGCCUUUGGAUGGGCCCGCGUUGGAUUAGCUAGUUGGUAGGGUAAAAGCCUACCAAGGCGACGAUCCAUAGCUGGGCUGAGAGGAUGAUCAGCCACACUGGGACUGAGACACGGCCCAGACUCCUACGGGAGGCAGCAGUGGGGAAUAUUGGACAAUGGGCGAAAGCCUGAUCCAGCAAUGGCGCGUGAGUGAUGAAGGCCGUAGGGUUGUAAAGCUCUUUUACCCGGGAUGAUAAUGACAGUACCGGGAGAAUAAGCUCCGGCUAACUCCGUG